This 532-nucleotide ribosomal RNA is filed under the name uncultured bacterium. RNAcentral's name for it is "bacterial SSU rRNA". It matches the Rfam family "Bacterial small subunit ribosomal RNA", at positions 791 to 1326 of the family's 1533-position model. The record is from RNAcentral.
UAGUCCACGCCGUAAACGAUGAGUGCUAGUUGUCGGGACUUCGGUUUCGGUGACGCAACUAACGCAUUAAGCACUCCGCCUGGGGAGUACGGUCGCAAGAUUAAAACUCAAAGGAAUUGACGGGGGCCCGCACAAGCGGUGGAGUAUGUGGUUUAAUUCGAAGCAACGCGCAGAACCUUACCUACCCUUAACAUUUCACGACGUAUACAGAGAUGUAUAUUUCUCUUCGGAGACGUGAGGAUAGGUGCUGCAUGGCUGUCGUCAGCUCGUGUCGUAAGAUGUCUGGUUAAGUCCAAUAACGAGCGCAACCCUUAUCCUUAGUUACCAGCAUUAAGUUGGGGACUCUAGGGAGACUGCCGGUGUUAAACCGGAGGAAGGCGGGGAUGACGUCAAGUCCUCGGGGCCCUUACGGGUAGGGCUACACACGUACUACAAUGGCAGAUACAAACCGUUUGCAAAGCCGCGAGGUUGAGCUAAUCGGUAAAACACUGUCCCAGUCCGGAUUGGAGUCUGCAACUCGACUCCAUGAAGA